RNAcentral lists this unclassified non-coding RNA (341 nucleotides) under soil metagenome. Its description in RNAcentral is "partial contains 5.8S ribosomal RNA, internal transcribed spacer 2, and large subunit ribosomal RNA". The stretch from base 6 to 121 matches the Rfam family "5.8S ribosomal RNA", at positions 39 to 154 of the family's 154-position model. The record is from RNAcentral.
GAUGAAAGAACGCAGCGAAAUGCGAUACGUAGUGUGAAUUGCAGAAUUCAGUGAAUCAUCGAAUCUUUGAACGCACAUUGCGCCCCUUGGUAUUCCAUGGGGCAUGCCUGUUCGAGCGUCAUCUACACCCUCAAGCUCUGCUUGGUGUUGGGCGUCUGUCCCGCCUGCGGGCGGUGGACUCGCCCCGAAUGCAUUGGCAGCGUCCCUUGCCCCCUCUCGCGCAGCACAUUGCGCUUCUCGAGGGCGGCUCCGGGGCGCGACCCACCGAAGAUGACCACCGUCUUUGACCUCGGAUCAGGUAGGGAUACCCGCUGAACUUAAGCAUAUCAAUAAGCGGAGGA